Tigriopus californicus is the source of this 1348-nucleotide long non-coding RNA. RefSeq lists it as uncharacterized. Lineage: Eukaryota; Metazoa; Arthropoda; Copepoda; Harpacticoida; Harpacticidae. The transcript is spliced from 3 exons. The record is from RefSeq and is a predicted model, not a curated record.
UAACGUUUACCGAUUUGUGUUUGACGCGUAUGAAGCCACAUGGAAGCGAUCUCCGUGGAGCCUAGACUUUCCCACCUUUUUCGCCAACAUCAGUUUUGCAAACUUUCAUGAAUGAGUCUGGAGCUUUGUUAAGGAGCACUUGUUACUCCUGGACUACAGAGUUGUUUCUGUCUUGAAAUGAGCUUAUGAGGGACUUAUGGCAGCCGGAAUAUUGAAAAAAAAAAUCGUGUUUUCCUUCUAUCAGAGAACGUGGAAAAAGAAGCCUCCAUUACUGUAGAUAUUUAUUAAAGACUGAAACCUUGAAUAGAUUUAAUCCAACAUGUACAAUUCUAAUCCAAGGAAAAUCAAGCUUCAAGCUGUGUUCGUGGGCCAUGUGAUUGAUUCUAUCACGUUCUUGGUGUCCAGGCCACGAAAAGUAAAGCCACCUCCCACUUUGAAAGAAGUGCUUUCGCUGGAGUCUCAAUUAUGGGACAUGAGAUACGAACUGGCAGUCCCUAGCUUUUGGAAGAUGUCAAAGAGUCAACUGGUGUCCGUGAUAUUGUGGAGAGAAGUUGAUAAACGAGGAAGGAUCAGUGAGAUCCACUCUGAUCUGAAUUUGGUCAACGUUCUUCUCGUUGAUACCGGUGAGGUCCUCAAGGAUAUUGACGUUGAGUCCAGAAUAAGAGAGCUUCCAGUUUCGUUUGUUGGAACACCCGCUUUAGCUUUAUAGACUGAAUCUCAAAGAAUUGGAGAAGACAAAUGAAGCAUCGAGGAAAUGGUUCGAUCGCUCGUGGCAUGCGCUGAUAGAACUUGGCUAAAAUCAUCCAAAGGGGAUCCGUUACUCGACCUGGUUCUUUAUUUGAGGAAUGCAGUCCAAUCAACACGCCUCGGGCUCUGAUCGAAUACGAAUAUCUGAAUAGAGACAACAACUGUGUUUCGAUUCGAGAAGUCCUGUCCGAAUUUCGUUCCCCCAUCAUUGAAGACACUCACACACCUUGUUGGGCGAAUCCCUCCAAAAACCCAGGCCAUUCAACGAACGCUCUGGAAUGACCAGUGACUAUUUCUCCCUUGACUUUCAAGAUGAAGGCAAAUUGCCUAACCAGUCUAGCAUUUGCGGUGGAUUGGAAACUGAUGAAAUGUUAAGAUGAGGCGAAUUUUAUUCCCGAUGACAUAUCGUCAAUCGAGGUGAGACAAGGGGACAACUAUCAUUCGAUAAAAUACACUUCAUUCGCCCGAAGCGUCAUCGACAAUUGACUGACCAUUGAGGGUCAAUCUUCAAUUGGACGUACUAAGUGAAGUGUCUGUUUAGAAUGCCAUUUUUGAAUCAACUUCUAGGAAAACAAGCGACUUAAAGCCUCAAUCAAUCAGU